GAUCAAGCUAGAAAGAGCAUAUGGUGGAUGCCUUGGCACCAGGAGCCGAAGAAGGACGUGAUAAGCUGCGAUAAGCUGUGGUGAGCCGCAAAUAGGCCUAGACCCACAGAUAUCCGAAUGGGGAAACCCACCAGAAGUAAUGAUCUGGUAUCAUAACAUGAAUAAAUAGUGUUAUGAAGGGAGACCGGGGGAACUGAAACAUCUAAGUACCCCGAGGAGUAGAAAGAAACAUCGAUUUCCUAAGUAGCGGCGAGCGAACGGGAAAGAGCCCAAACCAGUUCGGGUAACUGAACUGGGGUAGAGGACCGGCAUUUAGUAUCGGAGCUUUAGCCGAAGAGAUCUGGAAAGAUCGAUCACAGAGGGUAAAAAUCCUGUAGGCGAAAAGGCAAAGAUACGAGCCGAGAUCCAGAGUACCACGAGACACGUGAAACCUUGUGGGAAACAGGGAGGCCCACCUCCCAAGGCUAAAUACUACCUGGUGACCGAUAGCGCAUAGUACCGUGAGGGAAAGGUGAAAAGAACCCCGGGAGGGGAGUGAAAUAGAACCUGAAACCGUAUGCUUACAAUCGGUGGGAGCACUAUUCGAAAGAAGUGUGACCGCGUACUUUUUGUAGAACGGACCAGCGAGUUACGUUAGUCAGCGAGGUUAAGGUGUUAAGCACCGGAGCCGAAGCGAAAGCGAGUCUUAAUAGGGCGUAAAGUUGGCUGAUGUAGACCCGAAACCGGGUGACCUAUCCAUGGACAGGGUGAAGUUGGAGUAAAAUCCAAUGGAGGCCCGAACUCACCGUUGUUGAAAAAACGGGGGAUGAGCUGUGGAUAGCGGAGAAAUUCCAAUCGAACUCGGAGAUAGCUGGUUCUCCCCGAAAUAGCUUUAGGGCUAGCCUCAGUAUAGAAUACCGGAGGUAGAGCACUGAAUGGGCUAGGGGCCUUAUCGGUUACCGAACCCUAUCAAACUCCGAAUGCCGGAUAUUUAAUUACUGGGAGUCAGACUGCGAAUGAUAAGAUCCGUAGUCAAAAGGGAAAGAGCCCAGACCAUCAGCUAAGGUCCCCAAGUAUAGGCUAAGUGGUAAAGGAUGUGUGACUACAGAGACAACCAGGAUGUUGGCUUAGAAGCAGCCAUACAUUGAAAGAGUGCGUAAUAGCUCACUGGUCAAGUGGUCAUGCGCCGAAAAUUACCGGGGCUAAAGCCUAACACCGAAGCUAUGGAUUCUUAGAGGUUAGAUGUUGGAGGUUAGAAGUUAGAAAUGAUAAAAGGGUAUAGGGAUUUAAGGAUAUACCAGAAAGCUUAUGAAUUAGGCUUGAAAGUUCAUUUACUAACGCAGAAGUAUCCUGAGUAUGAAAGGUAUGAGAUAGGAAGUCAAUUGAGAAGGGCAGCAUUAUCGAUACCAUUAAAUAUAGCAUAAGGAUACGGAAAGAAAGAGUCUAAUGCCGAGUUUAAGAGAUUCUUAAAAAUGGCACUUGGAUCUAACAAUGAAGUUGGAGUGCUUCUAGAUAUGAGCUAUGAUAUAGGAUAUAUAGACAAAUCCAUACACAUGGCAAACAAAUAUAUACAACAAUAGAAAAGUGGCAAAAAUCCAACCUCUAACAUCCAACAUCUAACCUCUAGGAGUGGUAGGGGAGCGUCGUAUAUGGGCAGAAGCCAUACCGAAAGGAGUGGUGGACUGUAUACGAGAGAGAAUGCUGGUAUGAGUAGCGAGAGUGAAGUGAGAAUCUUCACCGUCGAAAAUCUAAGGAUUCCUGAGGAAGGUUCGUCCGCUCAGGGUAAGUCGGGACCUAAGGAGAGGCGUAAAGCGUAUCCGAUGGACAAUUGGUUGAUAUUCCAAUACC
RNAcentral lists this ribosomal RNA (1827 nucleotides) under Rhodopseudomonas palustris. RNAcentral describes it as "partial 23S ribosomal RNA". It matches the Rfam family "Bacterial large subunit ribosomal RNA", at positions 1 to 1445 of the family's 2925-position model. Lineage: Bacteria; Pseudomonadati; Pseudomonadota; Alphaproteobacteria; Hyphomicrobiales; Nitrobacteraceae. The record is from RNAcentral.